RNAcentral lists this ribosomal RNA (543 nucleotides) under uncultured bacterium. RNAcentral's name for it is "bacterial SSU rRNA". It matches the Rfam family "Bacterial small subunit ribosomal RNA", at positions 777 to 1320 of the family's 1533-position model. The record is from RNAcentral.
AAUAGAUACCCCGGUAGUCCACGCCGUAAACGAUGAGUGCUAAGUGUUGGGGGUUUCCGCCCCUCAGUGCUGCAGCUAACGCAUUAAGCACUCCGCCUGGGGAGUACGGUCGCAAGACUGAAACUCAAAGGAAUUGACGGGGGCCCGCACAAGCGGUGGAGCAUGUGGUUUAAUUCGAAGCAACGCGAAGAACCUUACCAGGUCUUGACAUCCCGGUGACCACUAUGGAGACAUAGUUUCCCCUUCGGGGGCAACGGUGACAGGUGGUGCAUGGUUGUCGUCAGCUCGUGUCGUGAGAUGUUGGGUUAAGUCCCGCAACGAGCGCAACCCUUAUUCUUAGUUGCCAUCACUCAGUUGGGCACUCUAAGGAGACUGCCGGUGAUAAACCGGAGGAAGGUGGGGAUGACGUCAAAUCAUCAUGCCCCUUAUGACCUGGGCUACACACGUGCUACAAUGGACGGUACAAACGGUUGCCAACCCGCGAGGGGAGCUAAUCCGAUAAAACCGUUCUCAGUUCGGAUUGUAGGCUGCAACUCGCCUACA